UAGGGAAUCUUCCGCAAUGGACGCAAGUCUGACGGAGCAACGCCGCGUGAGUGAAGAAGGAUUUCGGUUCGUAAAACUCUGUUGUUAGAGAAGAACAGCGCAUAGAGUAACUGUUAUGCGUGUGACGGUAUCUAACCAGAAAGCCACGGCUAACUACGUGCCAGCAGCCGCGGUAAUACGUAGGUGGCAAGCGUUGUCCGGAUUUAUUGGGAGUAAAGCGAGCGCAGGCGGUCAAUUAAGUCUGAUGGGAAAGCCCCCGGCUCAACCGGGGAGGGUCAUUGGAGACUGGUUGACUUGAGUGCAGAAGAGGAGAGUGGAAUUCCAUGUGUAGCGGUGAAAUGCGUAGCAGUAUGGAGGAAAAACAGUGGCGAAGGCGACUCUCUGGUCUGUAACUGACGCUGAGGCUCGAAAGCGUGGGUAGCAAACAGG
Molecule: ribosomal RNA, 429 nt
Filed under: Bacteroidota bacterium
Lineage: Bacteria; Pseudomonadati; Bacteroidota
Description: Bacteroidetes bacterium partial 16S ribosomal RNA
Rfam family: Bacterial small subunit ribosomal RNA
Source: RNAcentral